AAGGUCGGCGCGGCUGCGUCCAGGUCGGCGCGUGCGUACUGCAUACUCGCCGCUUUGCGCUGUGAGCCGCCCUGAGAGCUUCAGAUGAAGGGCGGUAUACACAUUUAAUGAAAGAAUAAUAAUAAAAAUAGCGACCUGCCCCCAUCCUUUAGCUGUUGUUGUUUUUUCCCUUUUAGAAUACUAACAAUGCAAUACUAUAUGAGUCUCCUCAAAAUUGUCAAGCAGCAACCACCCAAACUGCAUCCUCUGUACCAAAAGCCAUCUAAGGAAGCCCAGCAGAUGGUCUAGCUGCUGUGAAACAAAGAGUUGCUUUCAUUCUUAAAUUUGUUUCCUCAGCUCUUUUCAUUUGGUAACUCUGUAAUAGAACAUUUGACCUUUACAAAGAUCAAAAUGUAAAUAAUGUUCUUUUCAUGUUGUUCUUUAGCAACCAUUUAAAAAGUCAAAUAACAUUAAAGUCCUUUUUUACUUUUAAAA
Molecule: long non-coding RNA, 474 nt
Organism: Lacerta agilis (Sand lizard)
Lineage: Eukaryota; Metazoa; Chordata; Lepidosauria; Squamata; Lacertidae
Exons: 2
Source: RefSeq, a predicted model, not a curated record